Molecule: non-coding RNA, 2051 nt
Organism: Physcomitrium patens
Lineage: Eukaryota; Viridiplantae; Streptophyta; Bryopsida; Funariales; Funariaceae
Source: RefSeq, a predicted model, not a curated record
CAGACGAACGGAUGGAUGCGUGGAUGAAUGAAACACCGGUUCCAAUCAACUCGUGAUUUUUCUCCCAAAUAUUGUCGUAUCUCACUGGAUCCGCUCUGCGUUCACGGGAACGGGCCUCAUGGCCAACCCUCUGAUGUUGUGAGCUCUGAGAUAGAAGCACUUCAUGGGUUAGGGUUUGUUGCUUUGCAUGAAUCUGUAGUUUCAGGGUUUGUUUUGAGAGCUGUAGAGAUGGAGAUGGCGUUGAGGCUGCGAUCUGGAUUUCCCUCCUGUAGCUCCUCCAAAUGUGUACCUUCGAAUCGCCGGCGUUUGGAGGUUUCCGGAGAUCAGGGUUUACGGGAGUGGAGCUUUCAGGAUGCAGGUGGGUUUGUGGUUUUAGGGAAUGGGGGAUUGAAAGCAUCGGUGAUGCAGAAUGGGGAUUUGCGGAGGACGUUGAAACAUGUCCGGAGAGAAGUGGUGCGCUGUGCGAUGCAAGGAGGCAUUGAGAGUGAAGGUGGGGAAGGAGAAGGAGAAGGAGAUGGCAAACCGAGUGAAUUGCUAGCGACAAGCAUCGAAGCUUUCGGGGAGGCGCUCUCGUCGGGGUUCCCGAUAUGGGUAGCAGCAGCCUGCGUUGCGGGGUUGGUGAAGCCCGCUGCGUUUACUUGGAUCCAGGGGCAGGUACAAAUCAUAGGGCUCAGCAUCACCAUGCUAGGAAUGGGCAUGACCAUGUCGCUGGAUGAUCUCAAGGGCGCCCUCGCAAUGCCCAAGGAGCUUGUCGCGGGUGUGCUCCUCCAGUACACCGUGAUGCCAACCGCAGGAGCGUUAGUAAGCAGGCUGCUCAAUUUGCCAGCAAAUUAUGCCGCAGGCCUCAUCUUGGUGUCAUGCUGUCCUGGUGGCACCGCGAGCAAUGUGGUCACGUACCUCGCGCGGGGCAAUGUAGCUCUGUCUGUGCUCAUGACGGCGGCCAGUACCUUUUUGGCGGUCAUACUGACGCCCAUGCUCACGUCGAAAUUGGUUGGGCAGUAUGUUUCCGUGGAUGCGGCGUCCCUUUUCUCCUCAACGUUGCAAGUAGUCCUGUUGCCCGUGACAGUGGGUGUUUUAUUAGCGCAUUUCUUGCCAGGCCUGGUCCGUAGAGUUAGCCCCUUGGCUCCCUCUGUGGCUGUGGUGACCGUAGCUGCAAUCUGCGCGGGAGCCAUCUCCCACAGCGCAUCUACUAUUCGGCAGUCAGGUGGCCAGGUCCUUAUUGCGGUGUUAGCUCUACAUGUGGCUGGCUUCUUCUUCGGUUAUGUCCUAUCACGUGUUCUAGGAUUUGAAGAAUCUACAUCCCGUACAGUGUCCAUCGAAGUGGGCAUGCAGAAUUCUGUCCUCGGUGUCGUCCUUGCGAGUAAACACUUUGCGAGUCCGCUAACGGCAGUCCCGUGCGCUGUCUCGAGCGUAUGUCAUUCAAUCUUGGGCAGUGCUCUUGCUAGGUUCUGGCGAUCUCGUCGUGCGAACCACCAAACCACUGGCAACGCCACUUUAUCCUAGAAUACUGGUUUUCGAAUUAUUUCCAUGUCGUAACUUCAGGAUGCUUUACAACCUUUGCUGUUCACUCAAUGUGAAUGAUCAGCCGGCGAGAUUUCUUCAAUAUACUAUAAAGCCCACGCAGUGUGCUCAAAAACGAAGGACAGCAAUGUUCUGCGAUAUCUGGCAAUUUUGAAACGCAGAGCGUUACGAAGGAAACUUGUAGCGCAUCUUGAUCGAAAGUCCCUUAAUAAGCAUCACUGAGGAUUGAGUAUAUGAAGAUAGUCAUAAUCAUGGAGACAUGAAUAGCGUACACUGGAAUGAAACCUCAAAUGCGAUGUUUCAUACACUUGAGACAGAAAAAUGUAUGGAGACGCUCAACUGGAGAAGUGCAACCACCAAUCUCUAUUCAACACAGGUGCAUAACCACUGACCGAUACUUGUCUCCAUUGCGUGGAGUUUGUACCCAGUGCAACUUGGAAAAGGGUUAUCAGUGACAAAGAUUGUAAAAGAUUGUAAACCCUAUUGCGAAAGAUUGUAAAUUCAAUGCUCCUCAAAUAGUUUCAAUAACA